AAAGGUAUAUAUAUUGGGACGAGAUUUUAAUCCGGUCGUUAAUUUCAUGAGUUAUUGUGUAGGUACUAAUGUGGUCUCUAGAAAAAGUGUAAACUGGUCCCUAUUUAAAAUCUAGUUCUGACGAAAUUUAACUAGGCGGGUAAACACUAAAUGUCUAUUUUCUCCAAAUCUAGGCGUCAAAAUGCCUAUUACUGAUUAAAAUUGUAAAAAGAAAAAAAUAAAUAAAAGACCUCUGUUUCUCAAUACUUAACGUGAAACAGAACCCUAACAAUAAUUUUUCUAACAACGAUCUUCAUAAUACAACUAUCUAAGAGCAGCUCUCAACUGAAGAUCUUUGUUUUCUCAAAAUGGAGAAAACAUAGGUCUGCCUAAAAGCCAACGCAACUGCUUGUUUCUGUCAUUCAUCUGUGUUUUUUCAGAACAAAGAAAAAUCAGGUCAACCUAGCACUGAUCUCAACUCAAUCUCCAUCUUCUAUUCAGUCGAAUCUCAGAGAAAACACAGGUCUACCCAGAAGUAGACGCAAUAGUUCGUUUCAGCCAUUCAUCUGUGUUUUUUUAAGAAUAAAGACAGUCAGGUCUACCUAGCACCGAUCUCAACUCAAUCUCCAUCUUUAUUCACUCAAGUCUCAGGUUCGAUAUGAUAACUGAAAAUGAGGAUAAAUCAAUUAUGAAGAGUACUAUUAGAUACUCAUUUGUUGCGCUCGGGGCAAUAGAAAGAGGAAGAGGACCAGGGUUUUGAAUAUAUAUGGAGUUCUUAACUGCAUGUACUAAGAGUUCAUUAUUUCACUCUAGUCAUCUUGUUAAGCAACACAUCCAAGAAGUUGAAACAAGUGCUAUUGAGAAGGGACGACAUUAACUUACCAACGUCCCAAAGUCUUCUAGUCAUGGAAAGGAAGCAAUAAAUGAGAAGUCCAAUAUGUCUCUUGAGAAAGAGUAUAUUCAAGUCAAUACUUCAUUUCAUCCAUCUACCAAGCAAGCUAAGCAAUACAUCCAUGAUGUUGAAACAAGUUAUAUUUGUAAAGGACAAGGAACUGAAAAUAAAAACACCACCAUGUCUUCUGGCGGACCUCAAACUCGUAAUCGUGUAUUUGGCUUUGGUGGUUGAGUAAAGGGAAAGGACAUGAGGGGUGACACUUCUUCAAAUACUGAGUUACUAUCUAAGCUAGCUUCAACUCAAGAGGAAAUAAAUCUUUGAAUGAGAAAAACAAAUCCUUGAAUAAUAGCUUGUCUACCUUAGAAGAUGAGAUGAGAGAACUAAGAAGAAUGCAAUAAUUCUUUGCUGCUUAACAAUCACAUAAUCCACAUACGACAUCACCUGAAUCAGUUCAAUGACCACCGACUUUUUUUUGCUGAUCAAGUAAGUAACAAUAUACCAAACUCUAUUGGUGGGUAGUUGUUUAAGUAGUUAGUGUAUGGCUGAACUCUUAGAAAACUAAUGAAGAGACGAAUGAACAAAGAGCAUAUCCAUCGUCCUUUUUGAAUAUGGAAGACACUAAAUUUAUAAUUGACAUGCUUUCCAUCAUCAUUUCUAUUGUUAUUGAUAUGCAUGUUUAAAGGAAUUAUUCACUUGUGAGGUACUUCGUUGGGUGAUUAUCUUCUCUUAACUGGUGGUUGUUUAUCUUAUUUGCGUUAUGAUUUAUGAAUACCAUACAUAUUAGUUUUUUUUUUGUUUUUUGGAUCGAUAAUGGAAAUUUGUAUUGCUUUUUGAGGAUCUGUCAUGAACAGAAUACUAAAACUUUUCCCUGUGAAGUGGAAAAAUUGAUGUUUCAGCAAAAUGAUGACCAGUUCCGUUUAGUAGAUUCUAGUAAUGAUGUUGAUUUGGUUGAUAAAACAUGGAAAUAUGAACUUGUAUAUCCACUAAAAGUAGCUGAGAGAAAAACUAAUUAGCAAGUUUCAGGUGCUCAAUUUAUGAACUAAAUCUCAUAUCUAUAUGUCCAUGAUUCGAAUUUCAACGCCAAUAUCGAUUCACUUCCGACAACGGUUGGUUUCACACUUGUAGCUCUACAGAUAGGAUUUGGAUUUCAAGAAAAACAAAAGUAUUAUACAUAGAGUUUUACUCCUAAUGGCAAUCUUCCAAUCCACAACUCUUCUCUGCGUAAAAGCUAUCUGGAAAUUCUACAUAAGAGUUUUUCAGGUGUUGCAGUGUUUUCUGUUUUAUCUAUUGUCGGUCAAAGUUGAGGUAAUUUUAUAUUAAAUAAUCAUAGACUAAUGCACUUAUAUCAACAAGGCCAUCUAUGAAAUCGUAAUGAUGUGAGAUGUCAUAAGUGAUUUCUCUAAUGGCUUGGGUUUAAUUCCUUGAGUUUCCUCUCAUACAACACAUAGAUUAUAUCCAUUGCAUUACCUGUUUACUCGUAAUCCAUGAUAGUGUGAGUUUUUCGGUUUGAGGUGUCUGCAUGAGAACAAUAGUGUGACUGUUUUCCAUUUUAGAAUGACUAAGGAUUGAGCCUGUAUUUGCUGAAAUUUUGAAGAAGCGAAUCAGAAACACUGUUUAGGUGGCUGCAGUGGCGUCUUUGCUGGCAAUAGAAUUGUUUAAAAGAUUACAGCCUUAGCGAAUCAGAAACUCUGUUUAGGCGGCUGCAAUGGCGUCUUCUCUGCUUGUUAAUACUUUUGGAUAACCCUUGGUGAAUUUCGGUGUACUUUUGUGAAGAUUGAAGCUGCAAGUUUAGAAGAUGCAAGAUUAGAAGAUGCACAAGACCAUUAAUAAUUUGCUCGGGAUAUUGUUAAUUUGCUAACCUUUUUUUUUGUCAAACAAAUAUUGAAACUUACACUAUGGGAUAGAAAUCUUAUAUUUAUCGAUAAAGCUUAUAUUAUUUUUGUGAAAUGAAAUUCCAGAAGUACAGAUGGUCAGUUAGAGACUAAAA
Solanum lycopersicum (tomato) is the source of this 2861-nucleotide non-coding RNA. The record is from RefSeq and is a predicted model, not a curated record. NCBI's taxonomy places the organism in Eukaryota, Viridiplantae, Streptophyta, Magnoliopsida, Solanales, Solanaceae.